This 253-nucleotide ribosomal RNA is filed under the name uncultured bacterium. RNAcentral describes it as "partial 16S ribosomal RNA". It matches the Rfam family "Bacterial small subunit ribosomal RNA", at positions 524 to 775 of the family's 1533-position model. The record is from RNAcentral.
UACGUAGGGUGCAAGCGUUGUCCGGAAUUAUUGGGCGUAAAGAGCUCGUAGGCGGUCUGUCGCGUCUGCUGUGAAAACUCAGGGCUUAACCCUGAGCUUGCAGUGGGGUACGGGCAGAUUAGAGUGCGGUAGGGGAGACUGGAAUUCCUGGUGUAGCGGUGAAAUGCGCAGAUAUCAGGAGGAACACCGGUGGCGAAGGCGGGUCUCUGGGCCGUAACUGACGCUGAGGAGCGAAAGCGUGGGGAGCAACAGG